AAGAGACGUUGCCCUUCGGGGUAUACCUCCCACCCUUUGUUUAUUAUACCUUUGUUGCUUUGGCGGACCCGUCUCGGACCACCGGCUUCUGCUGGUCAGUGCCCGCCAGAGGACCUAAAACUCUGUUUGUUAAUAUUGUCUGAGUACUAUAUAAUAGUUA
RNAcentral lists this unclassified non-coding RNA (160 nucleotides) under soil metagenome. Its description in RNAcentral is "partial internal transcribed spacer 1". The record is from RNAcentral.